RNAcentral lists this non-coding RNA (102 nucleotides) under unclassified sequences. Its description in RNAcentral is "RT-5 RNA". It matches the Rfam family "RT-5 RNA". Rfam says of the family: Clostridium (Firmicutes). Environment (Cow rumen (57)) The record is from Rfam by way of RNAcentral.
UUGCACCUGUGAAGGGCUCAGCAGGGGACAUAAGUCGAUUUUGCAGGUAAUCGUCCCCUGUACAGUCCCGUAUCCGAUACCAAUCGGAUUUUAACAUCUCCU